Ictalurus punctatus (channel catfish) is the source of this 1349-nucleotide long non-coding RNA. RefSeq lists it as uncharacterized. The transcript is spliced from 2 exons. Lineage: Eukaryota; Metazoa; Chordata; Actinopteri; Siluriformes; Ictaluridae. The record is from RefSeq and is a predicted model, not a curated record.
CCAUGAAACAUGUACAAGAUUGUCUUGGACAAAAUGCCAGAAAACACACAAUGAUUCUAUUCACUGGAGGGGAUAAUUUGGAGGGCAAACCUGUUGAAAUCUUCAUUCAAGAGAACCAGGAUCUCAGUAAAUUUGUGGAAAUACUUAAAAACAGAUACCAUGCACUCAAUAACAGAGACACCAGCAAUAAGACCCAAGUGGAUGAACUGCUGAAGAAGAUUAAUCACAUGUACAAACAAAAUAAUAAAGAAUUUUGCACAAAAUAGCAAGGAGAUUUCGAUCAAGACAUGCAAGUAGCUUGGAUCCAACAUGUACAUAAUAAUUAGAGGAGCAGUUACACCAUAAUAUUGCAAUUAGUCCCUCAAGACCAUCAUGAGAUGCAACAUGUGAAAUGACCAUCAGCUCACUCCCUGUGUCUGUGUGUGUGUGUGUGUGUGUGUGUGUGUGCGUGUGUGUGUGUGUGUGUGUGUGUGUGUGUGUAAUGUACUAUACUGUGUAUUGCUAUCCAGACCUGUUCUUUGUUGUUGUAUGAUUGCAUUUUUAAUGUAAACCAAUGUAUACAUUACAGUAGCUUUAGCCUAGCACUUAAUCCAGGUCUUAUAGUUAGUUGGGGCUUGCAGUGUUCACCCAACAGCUAUUUUGUAGUUGUUUGUUUUUAUGUAGGAUAGUUUGUUGUGCAGCAAUUUUUGAUGUCAGCUCCUCAAACAUAAACAAAAAUGAAAGCAUAUAUUUUUUACUUUCUAUUGCCAUUACAGUGCCAUUAGAAAGUUUGUGAACACUUUACAAUUUUCCGUGUUUCUGCAUAAAUUUGACCUGAAAUCAGAUCAGGUCUUAAAAUUAAUGAAUCCAGUCCUAAAAGUAGAUAAAGAGAACCCAGUUAAACAAUUGACACAAACAUAGUUUUUUGUUUGUUUUUGUUUUACAUCUAUUUAUUGAGCGAAAUUAUCCAACAUUAAAUAUCUUUGUUGGAAAAAGUAUGUGAACCUCUAGGAGUAUGAGUUAAUUUAAAGGGUUUAGUGAAGUCAAGUUUUUACAGAAAAACAGAAAAUAUGCAAAAGGUUUACAAACUUUCUAGUGGCACUACAUAUGUUAAAAUGUGUCUGGGACAUAUGAUCCAAUGAUUCCUUUCUACAAUUAGAGAUGUCUUUGAUUUUAUGAUGCUUGUAUUUUUGUUAUUAAUCAUCAAAAUAUUUUUUUUGAAAGAUUAAACUUUUAAUUUUUUGUGCUGUGUCUUAUGGCAAUACACACACAACUGUAUCAUAAUUCAACAGAUAAGCUGUAAAAGAAAACAGUUCUUCUUUUUGCUUCCAUAUUGUGUAUAUCAUUAAAUGCAUAUCAUUAAAUGUGGA